GACAGCACUGAAGUUUUGUUCCUGUUGAUGCCUUCAGAGUGUUGCAGGUAAUGGAGAAAAUGGAGACUAGAAAUGAGCUGCAAAGAUGCAAUGGGAAAUGCGGGAUGGACAAUAAUAAAGAGAGACGACUCCUUCAGCUGCUUUUCCUCAGCUUUGGUGUGCUGUGUGUCAUACAAGCCACUCUCAAUCUUGCUUUACGCCUCACAUUCGAGGGGAAUGACUCACCCCACACAAAAAAGUUAUGUGGCAACAACCAGUUAAAACCAGGAAAUUUUAACCAAAAUUCUUGUAGCGAACUACAAGAAAGAAUCAUUGCUUUGAACAGAGACAGAAGCCUGCUUGAAAAGAGAAAUGAAGAGCUCCUUAACAUCAUAAAGAGUCUUGAGGAGGAGAAGAAGAGGCAGAAUGGUGAGAAACUUCAGUUCUUCCUCUUUUCUGUACUUGCAAAAGAAAUUGUGGUAUUCUGAUCUCACGCUCAUCUUUUCUCUCUUAGGUUUCAUCUCAUCGUAUAAUUAGAAAAAUGGCGGCUCAUAUGAAACAGUUGAGUUUCUCUCUAAAAUGGUUUUGGUAUUAUUUCAACAAAGUUUAUUAUUAUUAUUAUUAUUAUUAUUAUUAUUAUUAUUAGUCUAUAAUCUGUUUUAAGCUAAUUGUCCCACAUGUUUGACUUUUGCAGUUAAUGAUUGUGAUUGUAUUACAGUUUGGAUUUCUGUUUGGGGUUUUUAAAAAUUUUUUUUUAUAAUUUUUAUUAAUUAUUCUUUGAAAUGUUUAUGUCUGUAUUAUUCUGAAAGAGAAUUUCUUGUUAAAUUGAGUUGUUCAUGUCUGGUUUUACUUCAUGGUUUUCAUUAUAAUUUCUGUUUUACCAUCCAUCAUUUCUACCAAAGUGAGCUGUAUUUUUUUUAUUAUUUUUCUUUAUGAAGGUUUUGGGUCCUAUUUGUUAAAUUUCACACUAGUUUCUUGUCUAUUUGUCUCCUCAUGGCUGUCGGACUUUUGGAUUUGUUUCUCAUUUGCUUCUUGGACUUUCUUACGCCCUGAAUUUCUACAUUAACCUCAAUAAAAUGGCUUGUUUUUUGUUAGUAAGUCUGCCAUCUGUGUCCUGCUUUUGGGUCCUAACCUUUACAUGCCACACGACCUAACAAACCAAUCUUUUCAUGCAGUUUAGAACACUGAAUAUUUUCACAUUUUUUUCUUAUUUUCCAGCACAUUAGACCUUAUUUUGUCUUCCUACACCUGCACUAGAAGUCUCUGAAGUCAAAGAUAUGAUAAAUAGAAUAGAAAGUUUAUAUUUAUAGAACUGUAUCUUUGUAGUACAGUCAAUUUCACUAACAAAUUGCAUUUUGUACCUAAAGCUUCUCUAAAGCACAUCUCAGCGCAUUAUUGUGUAGGCUGUGAAUGGUUGUUUGUCACUUUCACAGAGCUGAGCAGUGGAGCAUCAUCUCAGCAGCCUCCUUAUCAUUGGAGGGAAGUCAUAUCUAGAUGUUUUCCCCUUUCUACUGGGAACAAAAUGGCAGAAAGCAGAAAGUCUUGUGCGAGUGAAGAAGCUAACCUGGUUCUGAUCAACAGUUAACAGAGAACAAAUAGCCUACAAAAGGAACUGUUAAAGAAAGAGUUACAUUAACAAAUCGUACGUUUGUAAUGUUGCUAAAACAUGAAUUCAAGUCAUGUAUUUCACCAGAUCUCAGAAGAAAAUACAUCUACUCCACUAUAUUUAUUUGACAGCAAAUGUUAAAAAUUCACAUUUUGCACAUAAACAACAGCCAUCAAAUGAUG
Molecule: long non-coding RNA, 1767 nt
Organism: Astatotilapia calliptera (eastern happy)
Lineage: Eukaryota; Metazoa; Chordata; Actinopteri; Cichliformes; Cichlidae
Source: Ensembl